CCUACGGGGGGCAGCAGUGGGGAAUAUUGGACAAUGGGGGGAACCCUGAUCCAGCCAUGCCGCGUGUGUGAAGAAGGCCCUCGGGUUGUAAAGCACUUUCAGUGAGGAAGAACGCCUGGUGGUUAAUACCCAUCAGGAAAGACAUCACUCACAGAAGAAGCACCGGCUAACUCCGUGCCAGCAGCCGCGGUAAUAUGGAGGGUGCGAGCGUUAAUCGGAAUUACUGGGCGUAAAGCGCGCGUAGGUGGCUUGAUAAGCCGGUUGUGAAAGCCCCGGGCUCAACCUGGGAACGGCAUCCGGAACUGUCAAGCUAGAGUGCAGGAGAGGAAGGUAGAAUUCCCGGUGUAGCGGUGAAAUGCGUAGAGAUCGGGAGGAAUACCAGUGGCGAAGGCGGCCUUCUGGACUGACACUGACACUGAGGUGCGAAAGCGUGGGUAGCAAACAGGAUUAGAUACCCUUGUAGUC
RNAcentral lists this ribosomal RNA (465 nucleotides) under Vreelandella stevensii. Its description in RNAcentral is "partial 16S ribosomal RNA". It matches the Rfam family "Bacterial small subunit ribosomal RNA", at positions 338 to 795 of the family's 1533-position model. Lineage: Bacteria; Pseudomonadati; Pseudomonadota; Gammaproteobacteria; Oceanospirillales; Halomonadaceae. The record is from RNAcentral.